RNAcentral lists this ribosomal RNA (254 nucleotides) under uncultured bacterium. Its description in RNAcentral is "partial 16S ribosomal RNA". It matches the Rfam family "Bacterial small subunit ribosomal RNA", at positions 524 to 776 of the family's 1533-position model. The record is from RNAcentral.
UACGUAGGGUGCGAGCGUUGUCCGGAAUUAUUGGGCGUAAAGAGCUCGUAGGCGGUUUGGUAAGUCUGGUGUGAAAUCUCCACGCUCAACGUGGAGGGGCCACCCGAUACUGCCAUGACUGGAGUCCGGUAGAGGAGUGUGGAAUUCCUGGUGUAGCGGUGGAAUGCGCAGAUAUCAGGAGGAACACCGAUGGCGAAGGCAGAUCUCUGGGCCGUAACUGACGCUGAGGAGCGAAAGCAUGGGGAGCGAACAGG